RNAcentral lists this microRNA precursor (143 nucleotides) under Gossypium arboreum. RNAcentral describes it as "MIR7502 microRNA precursor family". It matches the Rfam family "MIR7502 microRNA precursor family". Lineage: Eukaryota; Viridiplantae; Streptophyta; Magnoliopsida; Malvales; Malvaceae. The record is from Rfam by way of RNAcentral.
UGUUAAAUCUAUAUUUAUUUUCAUUAUUAAAAACUAGCGUGCUCGACAGAAAAGUAAAUAGUUAUAACUAGAGUGUUAUGUAUACUUUAUAGUGAUGUACAACUAUCAAUUUUUAACAGUGAAAGUUGAUGAAAUUUUGAAUA